Molecule: non-coding RNA, 149 nt
Filed under: human gut metagenome
Source: RNAcentral
UGGAACUUAGAAGUUCUUGAUGUUCUGGAUGUAACAGCAAUGUUUGAACACGAUGUUCAAACAAGCCGCCAGUGAGACAUGGAUGUCGAAUUGGCGGCGGUUGCGUACGGUACUAAUAAAUGAAUCAGAACAUCUAGUACUUCUUAGUU